This 1014-nucleotide ribosomal RNA is filed under the name Triticum aestivum (bread wheat). Its description in RNAcentral is "partial small subunit ribosomal RNA". Lineage: Eukaryota; Viridiplantae; Streptophyta; Magnoliopsida; Poales; Poaceae. The record is from RNAcentral.
AUGACGUCAGUUGCUAAAUUUCCAGUUCCAGUGAUUGAAGAAUUGCUCGAUGAACUUCACGGGGCAGUAUGGUUCUCUAAACUCGACCUUCGAGCAGGAUAUUACCAGAUCAGGAUCGCAGAGGGCGACGAGUACAAGACUACCUUCCAGACCCAUUCGGGACACUUUGAAUUCCUGGUGCUUUCAAUGGGACUAGCAGGGGGUCCAUCCACCUUCAACGGCGCGAUGAUUGAUACUAUGCAUCCUCUGCUCCGCAAGUGUGUUCUGCUGUUCUUUGACGAUAUCCUAGUCUUCAGCCGCACGCUAGAAGAUCAUACAGCUCACCUUAAGCAAGUUUUCCAGCUCCUGCGAAGAGAUCAGUGGAAGAUCAAGGCUUCUAAAUGUUGCUUUGGCCAGCAGAAGCUGUCUUAUUUGGGGCACGUCAUCAGUGCGGAAGGGGUUGCCACAGAUCCUGGCAAGAUUCAAGCCGUGACGCAGUGGCCUACACCGACUGAUGUUAAAGAGGUCCGGCGAUUCCUCGGGCUUGCCGGUUAUUACCGUCGCUUCGUCCGCCAUUUUGGCAUCAUCGCACGUCCGUUGUUCAACCUGCUCAAGAAGGGGGCACCAUUUGUUUGGACGCAGGCAACAGAAGAGUCAUUCCAGCUGCUUAAACAAGGUCUCGUCACAGCCCUAGUUCUAGCAUUGCCUAAUUUCUCUCAACCUUUCAUCAUGGAAACAGAUGCAUGCGACGCGGGCGUGGGAGCAGUGCUGCAGCAGCAGGGACAUCCGAUUGCAUAUAUGAGCAAAGCAUUGUCCCCCAAAUUCCAAGGGUUGUCAACAUAUGAAAAAGAGUAUCUCGCGGUGGUCGUGGCAGUUGAGCAGUCGAGGCCCUACUUGCAGCACAGCGAGUUCGUCAUUCAGACUGACCAGAAGAGUCUCAUUCAUCUCGAGGAACAGAGACUGACUACACCAUGGCAGCAGAAGGCUUUCACAAAGCUGCUGGGUCUUCGUUAUUCUAUCAAAUACAAGAAAUGA